AAAGGGGCUUAAACCCCAAAUACACUUUAACGAUCAAUACAAAAGAUCAAAACAUAAACUUUUGCAUCAGACUCAGGCAAUGCAAAAGCAAGAAGUCAAAGAACCUCAACACCCCUGCAAAAUUAGACAAAACCCAUCACCAAACUACAUCACUACAUCAUUUACAUUCUCAAAAUCACAAAAAUGCUCAAUCUUGGUGACAUAAAAGAGAUCUACAUGAAGUCUUUUUAUCACCAACAGAAAUGAUAAACGACAAAAAAGAAGAAGAAAGCAAAUACAUGCCAUUUCAAGCCGUAGAAAUGACCCAAUACAGAAAUGUUACUUAUAAAGUACGAUCAAGAAGGAAAAACUGACCUUGAAUGAGAAAUCUGAAGAGAAAUGGAUACCCUAUCUCAUCUGAAAAACCAAAGGACACGAGUGAGGGAAACCUGAAAGCACUUUCGUGUCUUGUAAAAAUCAGAC
This 462-nucleotide long non-coding RNA is filed under the name Populus tremula. Its description in RNAcentral is "long non-coding RNA (PTRE_LNC002477)". The record is from RNAcentral. Lineage: Eukaryota; Viridiplantae; Streptophyta; Magnoliopsida; Malpighiales; Salicaceae.